Molecule: long non-coding RNA, 3374 nt
Organism: Gavialis gangeticus (Gharial)
Lineage: Eukaryota; Metazoa; Chordata; Crocodylia; Gavialidae
Exons: 3
Source: RefSeq, a predicted model, not a curated record
UUCCUACUAUCUGAGUUGGUCUAAUAAAAGAGAUGAGAUUUACCCAAAGAACCUUGUCUGUCUAUGGAGACAUGCAACUUAUAACAACACUUGAGGAGUUACUAAUAAACUAUGAAGAGGAAAGUGGAAUUCCAUAUGCAUGAAGGGGAAAGUGACCUCGGGCAGGGGGUCAGCACAAAGUCAAUGCACCAGGCAUAAAACCCAGGAAAAUCCACCAGGAAAUCAACUAUUGCUGUCUGAGGCUUCAAGUCUGAUGUUCAGACUGGCCUAUUUUUGUUUGUCUCCCCAUCGAGAUCCAACCCUUGCGAUGCUGGUACGAAGAACGGUUUGUUGGACGAGAGCCAAAAAGGGGAUGCCUUUGUGCCUCCUUGAUCCCUGGAUAUACUGGGAGCCCUCAGCAUGCUUUGUGAAAAUCUCAGGGUUAUUCUAAUUAGCACAAAAUAGUAAUGGCCCCUGGGGAGGUUUUAUUCUAGCUGGAGAUUGCUGGAGCACAAAGAUAUUCUGAUCAUGUUCCUUUCCUUUCAUUAUGUCCAGUACAUUAUAGAUCGUGGGAGAUGGGUGGCAUAAAGCCAGCUCUCUGUCACUAAGGGAAGUCCCCCAGUGGGUAUUACAAUUGCAGUGCACUGUUGGAACAACGUAAAGAGGCCAGGAUCUGAUCCGAUCUGACAUGUAAGUGCAAACAUAUACUUUAUAUAGUCAUUAUAACAUAGUAAAAAACCUGCCGUGGAAUAGCAGGGCUUAUAAACCUGCACCAGGCAUACUACAGCAUCAGACUUUUAAAGAGAUAAGUCUUGUUCAUUCACGGUUACCCUUUCCAUUUCUCACCUUUCUAAUUCCCACAAAUGCUUCUGUUCACAAACAUCUCAAUGCUGCAGCACUGACAACACGCUGAAUUACUCUAGUGCGCUUUGCAGAGAGAGGGCACGGAUGAGUAGACAAACCCUCUAAGUACAAAACCAGGGGAACAGAUGGUUGUGACAAGGCGCUUAUUUUUGCACAAUAAGUGUUAGUGGACUCCCCCGAGAUCUGACGUAUGCUGGAGAAGCUGCUAAAUGGCCGCAGUGAGUCAGCUGCGGCACUGAUAAGAAAUAAAACUUUUCUUAUUCAUACGUGCAAGCCAAGUCCUUCUGUUUUAUCCCACGCUUAACCCUUUGGUGGAAUUCCCUGCUGAUGGGGGCUCAGAUAGCUGCUUUCCUGGGGCACAGGAAAGCCAACAGAACUCCCCUUGGACCUUGGUUGAAUCAUAGGAAAUAGCGUUUAGCUAGGUAGGGGGAUACUUGCUCAGACAUACAGAACAACAUAGCUGGUGCUGUAGUGGGGUAGACCAGUGGGCCAUCUAGUUCUAUAUCAAGCCUCUAACAGUGGCCAGUACUAGCUGUUUAAGAGGAGGAUGAAAGAAGAAACCCUACAGUAGGCAGUUGCUGUCCACAGCUAUCACUUGUCCCCAGAGAAAGUUUCCUGACAGCUCCAACAAGUGAGAGGUUAGAGUAAUUUUGGAGCAAUUUUGAAGUUGUAUUUCUCUUCCAAAGUGCCGCUGUUGGGGUUCCUCCGAGCAUUCGGUUCUUCCGUGAAUGCAGUGUUGGUUACAUUGCUCACCUUCAAGAGAAGGAAGGAAGUUGUCCUUCCUGCUGUGUGUUAACAGGGACAUUUGUGUGAACAGGGACACCAGCCUUUAUCUUGCACCUCUUGUGUCAAGAAGAGGUUCGCCAUUGAGUUCAGGAUGCAGCGGGCUGGCUCUCCUUUUAAGCAUCCUAUAGAACAAAGUGAGCACAAACCACUUCAUCCUUGCAGAUGGACUGAGCUAGGUGGGGAGAAGCUGAGUAGUUUUAAAAUCAAGGGCCCUAAAUUUAUCUUGCAGGCGGGUGCUGUGCAUACUUUCACCCAAUCCCUCGACUGGUGACAUGGUAGGUUGAAUCAUUCAUUCACAGCAACUGAGAAGUGUGUGGCUUUAAAAUGUAGUCCUCUCAUAAAUGGUGAUGAAUGGCUGUCCUAGGGCACAUAUACACUUCCUCCGUGCCUAGCCUAGGAAUGCUGCAGUGAAGCACGACUCACUCGACUCUGCUCCGAUUGCCCCCGCACCGUUCUUAAGCUCCCCGUCUCAGACACGCUUAAUGUCAUCCAGUCACCACUGCUGCAAGGUGACUACGCUGCCUCAUUUCCAGGAUUUGGUAUGUGCAAAGCCAGACACUGCACAAAGGUGGGACAGGCAUGCUCUUGCAGAGCUCUAGUGUGGAUAACAUUUGGUUGCUUCCCUAAAACCCUUGGGUCUGCAAUGUCAACCUGGAAAUCUUGUCUGGACAAGAUUGGGUGAGAUUUCUGGCAUCCCCUUCAGGUUAAGGUUUGGCUAGGUCUCUCUUAUCAGAUCUUGACACUUCUGGUCCCAGCUUCACUCAGGAACUGCUGGAGGCCUGAAAACACCCUUAUUAAAAGACAGUCCUCUUUCAAAUUUCUGAGAAUGUUGGUCUGUUGGAAGAAGAUUGCUUUUAAAAAUAAGAUUUAUCCAAAUUGCUUUGUGUAUCCCUAUCUGUGACGUCCACUCACAGCAGCAAAAGUGGCCUCUGACUGGGUGAAGAGCAAAACUAUAAGUCUGCCGGACAGGAAACAAUUAGCAUGCGGCUGAGGAACAUAUUGGUAGUUAGAUACUACCUCAGCCUUGUUGAAGAACAAUAAGUCACCCAGCAGUGUGAGAGACUCAGUCCAGGUCUACACUGGAAACUUGGCUCAUGCAGUACCAUUGAUCAGAGGGAUGUUUCGUUUUACAAUAUGCACAUAGCAGCAAAAGCUGUACAUAUCAGCAAAAAAGUUCUUUUGGGCUGGUUAAAGUUACAUCUUUAACGCUAGAAGAUUUAACUGGUGCGGCAAUACACCAGCCAACAUUUUCAGGCGUAGGUAAGGCCUGGUACGUGUGUGGACUUAGGAAGUCUGCAGAAUUCAAAGCUUUUAUCAUUUCACAUUGUCAAGUUUGUGCCCUUCAAAUUUUCUUAGUAACUCUUGGUUGACUGGAUGACUACUCUAGACUUGGUGUUCAAGUUGCUUUAGAGCCAGUUUUAAAGCUCAUAUGAGCAACGCUCAAAAAUGGAAAUGAGAUGACCUGUUUGACAUUUACAGCAAUUAAUCAUUGGAAGAGAUUGCUGAAAAGAUGUAAAUUCUCCACCUUUUGUUGUCAUUAAAUGUAGUCCAGACGCCUUUCUAAGAAAUGCUCUAAUUCAACUGCGUGCUACAGGAGUAGCACCAUGCUAGACGUGCAUUCUGGCUUUAAAAUCUAUGAAUGCUACUCAAAAAUCAGCUACUAAUUUUUAGGACCAGAUCCUGAUUCUAUUAGUAGUCCUGUUGAAUAGUACCCAGCUGAAUAUAAUCAUUUUCCCCUUGAUUAU